RNAcentral lists this transfer RNA (60 nucleotides) under Dipodomys ordii (Ord's kangaroo rat). It matches the Rfam family "tRNA", at positions 7 to 64 of the family's 71-position model. Rfam says of the family: Transfer RNA (tRNA) molecules are approximately 80 nucleotides in length. Lineage: Eukaryota; Metazoa; Chordata; Mammalia; Rodentia; Heteromyidae. The record is from Rfam by way of RNAcentral.
GUAGCUCAGUUGUAGAGCUCUUGCCUUGCAUGCAUGAGGCCCUGGGUUCGAUUCCUCAGC